UUAUGAGAGUUUGAUCCUGGCUCAGGACGAACGCUGGCGGCGUGCCUAAUACAUGCAAGUCGAACGCUUUUUCUUUCACCGGAGCUUGCUCCACCGAAAGAAAAAGAGUGGCGAACGGGUGAGUAACACGUGGGUAACCUGCCCAUCAGAAGGGGAUAACACUUGGAAACAGGUGCUAAUACCGUAUAACACUAUUUUCCGCAUGGAAGAAAGUUGAAAGGCGCUUUUGCGUCACUGAUGGAUGGACCCGCGGUGCAUUAGCUAGUUGGUGAGGUAACGGCUCACCAAGGCAACGAUGCAUAGCCGACCUGAGAGGGUGAUCGGCCACACUGGGACUGAGACACG
Molecule: ribosomal RNA, 345 nt
Filed under: Listeria monocytogenes
Lineage: Bacteria; Bacillati; Bacillota; Bacilli; Caryophanales; Listeriaceae
Description: bacterial SSU rRNA
Rfam family: Bacterial small subunit ribosomal RNA
Source: RNAcentral